AGGGAUGAAGAUCAAUGAUAGAGUACUUGCCUAGCAUGCAUGAGGCCCUGGGUCCAAUUCCCAGCACCCCCA
This 72-nucleotide transfer RNA is filed under the name Dipodomys ordii (Ord's kangaroo rat). It matches the Rfam family "tRNA". Rfam says of the family: Transfer RNA (tRNA) molecules are approximately 80 nucleotides in length. Their secondary structure includes four short double-helical elements and three loops (D, anti-codon, and T loops). The record is from Rfam by way of RNAcentral. Lineage: Eukaryota; Metazoa; Chordata; Mammalia; Rodentia; Heteromyidae.